AAAAACCAAGGGUGUGGCAUAUGAAAAUAUCUGUAGGAAACAAUAUACUCAGUAUCAAUGUAUUGGUUUAUGUAUUGGAAAAAUAAUUCAUUUUAAGUUAUCUCAUCAACUAAUACUAGCAGGGCCAGUACUAAAACUUGCUUUUUACCUACCUCCUGUGAACCUGAUUCAUGUGGUUUAUUGAGCCACUUUCUGUGUCUCCUGAAGACCAGGCUGUAUAGUUGAUCACAUGAGUCCUGCUUAAAGGUGAUCUAUAGUUGAGAAAAAUAGGAUUUGUGUGAUAUCCAAGAAAUCCACCUGUGCUCCAGAGGGCUGGAUAUUUAUGCAGUAACACCACAACUUCUGAAUACAGUGCUUAAAAGUCCAAGGCCUGUUUCUCAACUGCAUCUUAAGGAAAUAAAAAAAUCACACUGAAGACUUUGGUAAUGUGUAGUUGUGCCAAACUUCUCCCCUGGUGUCCUUUUAAAAGCAAAGAUCUGCCUUCAGGAAAGUUUGGAGAUACAACUGUCAGUGUUUAGAGGAUAGUGAGACACAUUUACUACCUGAACUUCUAUUGACUGUGCCCUUUCCUUCAGUGAAAAAUUGAAGAAGUUGAUAAAAGUAUUGGCUCGAGCAUAGGAGAUCGGUCUUCUUUUCCCAGAUCUAUGGCUGCCUGAAUAAUCUUAAACAUGUCAUUGAAUUUCUUUACAUGUUUUCCUAUCUAUAGAGGACAGAUAAUGCCACUUUCCUUAUGGGAAUGCUAGAAGGACUAAGAAAAUGUCAGUUAAGCUCUGUUUUGUUCAUUGGAAAGCAGUUUUACAUAAAGAUGUAUUCUUUAAGGCUGUGAACUCAACUAUAAGAAUGAUUGGCAUCUAAAAUUAAGUCACAUUUUAAUGAUGUGGCAUAACCAAGCGACCGAGUGCUUUUUAAAUCUUUUUAUUCCCCGUUAUCCACAAAUUUUAAGAAUAACACUUAUCGCUCCCAUUUCAAAGGUUAACAUUCAUAGAUAUUUGAGAAAAUUGUACCACUAAAUGCACCGCAAUCAUUCCUGGAUUGUUUCUUCUUCCUAUUGUUGAAGCAUGAACUGUAUAGAGAUGGUUUGAGUUUCCUUUUAAACAGUGAAUUUAAAAUCAACAAUAUUCUCCUUUAUUACAGUUUAUAAUGUAUGUCACCUUGAUUCAUUCUUUACCUUCUAGCUCAAAAGAACUGAGUGAUUAUCACGGAUAAGCAUUAUCUUUCUGGGAGGUCUAUUAUUUUAAAUCAUCUUAGAGAAAGGUUUUGCAAAGACACGUUAGCAAAAGAUGGGACUAGUCUUUUUCUAAAGGUGUUAUGACAGCCAAAAUUAAUUAUAUAUUUGCAUUGCAAAAUGAAUUUAUCCAAGCAGAAUGAAAUUUGAAAUCUUGGAAGUGACCUGGGACAAGGAGAGCUCUCACUUUGGGGGAAGAGGUCUUGGAUCGUUCUGCUCUUCCAUGCAGUGAGGGGAAGGAGGGCCAGAGGCAGGGACACAUUUCACCACUACCCACAAGAAGAACAAAAGGAAAUCAUGAUGUGGGCUACAGCCACAGGGCAGGACCUGGGUCACGGUGGAGUCUUGGUCUUUGAACUAACCAUUAGGAGGUGCUCAUAGUCUGGAACAAUUCCUUUAAACCUUUAAAGGAAGCACAGAGGACAACAAAACAGAGCAGCUCCUUUGUUAUGGGGAGGAGAAAAUGAGACAGAGAACAGCAAAGCCCAAUGACGUUUAGAUUCUUGAGGCUUCUUUCUCUUACCUGGUGUCCAAAGCUAGAGGAAUGGAAGAAAUGUCCCAUCUAGUCAUCUCAGAAUUUAGGCUUGGAAGUAUGGCAGAUACGGGGACCAUGGGGAAUUCCGAGAGUCAUUGACUGAAGUGGAGCAUGGAAAACUUGAGAACUGGCUGAGAGAAAUUUUCCACUAGACUUUUCAGAUAUUUAGAUGUAUGAAAAAAUUAGUCCUAUUUUGAUUAUUGGAGUUUUUGUUGGAUUUCUGUUAUGCACACCCUGAAGAAUCCUAGCAAAACAUUUUCCAAACUUCAUAUAACACAAACGAAUUGAAUGCAUCACUGUAUUUAAAAUGAUACAUAUUACAUUAUUGUUUUACCUUAGUGGCUAAAGUAAUAAUCUCAUUUUGCU
This is a long non-coding RNA of Heterocephalus glaber (naked mole-rat), 2126 nucleotides long. NCBI's taxonomy places the organism in Eukaryota, Metazoa, Chordata, Mammalia, Rodentia, Bathyergidae. The record is from Ensembl.